Non-coding RNA from Pelobates cultripes (western spadefoot toad), 93 nucleotides. The record is from the annotation of a GenBank genome assembly. Lineage: Eukaryota; Metazoa; Chordata; Amphibia; Anura; Pelobatidae.
CCAGCAGACCCUCCCUCCCAGACCCUCCUACUUCCUGGACAUGGAUGCUGUCCAGGAAGUAGGAGGGUCUGGGAGGGAGGGUCUGCUGGAGAU